This 977-nucleotide long non-coding RNA is filed under the name Solanum tuberosum (potato). RNAcentral describes it as "long non-coding RNA (STUB_LNC011242)". Lineage: Eukaryota; Viridiplantae; Streptophyta; Magnoliopsida; Solanales; Solanaceae. The record is from RNAcentral.
UUAAAGUCCGUGGUCUAGCUUACUCACUAUUGGAUACUUCCUCGGCGAUUUGGGGUAUAUGAGGGUUGGACUGAAAUGAUUAUUUAUGGUAAUCGGUUUGGUGAUAUUUCCCGCGACGUAUGGUUGGAUAUUGAUUCUUAGCUACAGUACCCGGUUAAAGUCCGUGGUCUAGCUUACUCACUAUUGGAUACUUCCUCGGCGAUUUGGGGUAUAUGAGGGUCGGACUGAAAUGAUUAUUUAUGGUAAUCGGUUUGGUGAUAUUUCCCGCGACGUAUGGUUGGAUAUUGAUUCUUAGCUACAGUACCCGGUUAAAGUCCGUGGUCUAGCUUACUCACUAUUGGAUACUUCCUCGGCGAUUUGGGGUAUAUGAGGGUUGGACUGAAAUGAUUAUUUAUGGUAAUCGGUUUGGUGAUAUUUCCCGCGACGUAUGGUUGGAUAUUGAUUCUUAGCUACAGUACCCGGUUAGAGUCCGUGGUCCAGCUUACUUAUGUCCAGGCUUAGCUACAGUACCCGGUUAGAGUCCGUGGUCCAGCUUACUUAUGUCCAGGCUUAGCUACAGUACCCGGUUAGAGUCCGUGGUCCAGCUUACUUAUGUCCAGGCUUAGCUACAGUACCCGGUUAGAGUCCGUGGUCCAGCUUACCUGUGAUCUGGUUUUAGCUACAGUACCCGGUUAGAGUCCGUGGUCCAGCUUACCUGUGAUCUGGUUUUAGCUACAGUACCCGGUUAGAGUCCGUGGUCCAGCUUACCUGUGAUCUGGUUUUAGCUACAGUACCCGGUUAGAGUCCGUGGUCCAGCUUACCUGUGAUCUGGUUUUAGCUACAGUACCCGGUUAGAGUCCGUGGUCCAGCUUACCUGUGAUCUGGUUUUAGCUACAGUACCCGGUUAGAGUCCGUGGUCCAGCUUACCUGUGAUCUGGUUUUAGCUACAGUACCCGGUUAGAGUCCGUGGUCCAGCUUACCUGUGAUCUGGUUUUGGC